Long non-coding RNA from Daphnia pulex (common water flea), 1379 nucleotides. RefSeq lists it as uncharacterized. The transcript is spliced from 4 exons. The record is from RefSeq and is a predicted model, not a curated record. Lineage: Eukaryota; Metazoa; Arthropoda; Branchiopoda; Diplostraca; Daphniidae.
CCGCAUCACAUUUUUCUUUAGUUCGGUUCCCAGAGAGUUGCUUACGUGCGAAUGGUAUGCACGCAUAAGCGUUUUAGAGUGCCGUGGCCUCUCUUUCGUCGUGACGGAAAACGUGCGAAAUCCGGGAACUUUUUAUAUUGUUUCCUUCCCAAUAUAGUGAUUCGACGACGGCGCCAAAAAGUUGGUUCUUCGGAUUCGAAUCGUAUCAAGAAUAUAGUGAUGACAGCAAAUUCAGUGCGGAAGAACAAAAGUUGACAAGAUGGAAGAUUAUAUCGCUUUAUACUAAACUCAGUUUUGAUGAGGUAUUGUAAAGAUGAUGGAGAUGCUAACCGAACAGUCAACAGGUUAAAAAGUGCACAGUUUGUCAGUUUGUCUGACUAAAUUUGUAACCCGGAUAAUAUUCGAUACUAUUCCAUCAUCGUCGUUCGAUAGGCUCUAAUGGCAAGAAGGUUCAUAUGAGGCAAAGAACCUAGGCUACUUCUUCAUUCAAAAUGGUUUUCGAAACAACCGGCAAAUUCUAAUUGGUCGUCGGAGAUGACGACCGAUGACGACGCCCACGAAAAAAUCAUGAUGGAGGCAGUCGUUAAUUGAUUUCUGUCCCACCGGAGCGCCAAAAGGUGCUACCCAUUUCCGAAUAUUAUUCCCACGAUGGCGACCAUAAUAGAAAAGUGAGCGGAUCGGCCGAGGGAUUCCCUGAACGCAGCAGCACGAAUUUUGUUUUAAACUUCGAACAAGAAAAGACAACUAUGGAUGGACGCAAAGUCUAGAGCACACACAAGCGCAACGGUAAGAACACGUAAGACCCGAAAUGAAGUGCAAGAUAACAUAAGAAAACGGAUUGACCGCCAUCAUCGUUGACGAACGUGAGAUCAACGGAGACGACGAGAUGCAUAUGCGGUAUAUGUUCUUAUAUUAUUUGGCACCUUUAAUUCUAGAUAUAUAAUUUUAUGCUCAAAAGAAAAUCACUUAUGGCAACUCGUCGCCAAUCACGUCUUCAAGAGGCUGGAAAUGCGCACAUAACAACGCUUGAAUAAUGACUCAUCACAAUCCGCUUAAAAGUUUCUGUAUCAGUUGUUGUGAAAAUCUGACGCCUGAUGAUAUUGCGGACUGGGAGCAGCAAGCCCAUCAGAAAAACUGGAAUAUUAAAUUUCGUUAUUCAGGACCUUGAUACAUGAAGCUGAGUAGCUUAUUCUGGUUUGUUUCUCUUUGAUGUUGCUGUUCAUUUCGUUUCAAUCAAUUCUGAUUCUGUCGAAUAUAUUUCCUGCUUGCUGAAUAAUUCGCCCAAUAAUUUGCAAGUUACUUAGUUAAAUACACAGAAGAUCAUAUACUUGGUAUGCGUGUAUUAGCAUACGAAGGAAUAAAGAUUUUUUUUAAAUUUG